CAGCCGCCACGGUAAUACAGAGGGUGCGAGCGUUAAUCGGAUUUACUGGGCGUAAAGCGUGCGUAGGCGGCUUUUUAAGUCGGAUGUGAAAUCCCUGAGCUUAACUUAGGGAUUGCAUUCGAUACUGGGAAGCUAGAGUAUGGGAGAGGAUGGUAGAAUUCCAGGUGUAGCGGUGAAAUGCGUAGAGAUCUGGAGGAAUACCGAUGGCGAAGGCAGCCAUCUGGCCUAAUACUGACGCUGAGGUACGAAAGCAUGGGGAGCAAACAGGAUUAGAUACCCCGGUAGUCCCUGUCUCUUAUAC
This 301-nucleotide ribosomal RNA is filed under the name uncultured bacterium. RNAcentral describes it as "partial 16S ribosomal RNA". It matches the Rfam family "Bacterial small subunit ribosomal RNA", at positions 509 to 807 of the family's 1533-position model. The record is from RNAcentral.